This is a long non-coding RNA of Zophobas morio, 653 nucleotides long. RefSeq lists it as uncharacterized. The transcript has 2 exons. Lineage: Eukaryota; Metazoa; Arthropoda; Insecta; Coleoptera; Tenebrionidae. The record is from RefSeq and is a predicted model, not a curated record.
AUAACGAUUGUUACAUCAGAGCAAGUACCAUUUGCGAAGUACAUCUUGACCUUCUGCUACAUCUAAAUCGUGUUACUGUGACUGCACUAUGCAUUUAGUAGCACUACUUUUUGUUGCAAAUCUCGCGUUUGCAUAUAGUUCUUUCGACAAAGAAGAUGAACUGUACCUCAUAAGAAGUGGACAUUCCAGUAAUUUGGUGUUGGAUGCAACUGACCCUAAUCAAGUAAAAAUAGAACCUUAUACUGGUUAUAGCGCCCAGUUGUGGAAAUUUGUGCGUGCAAGCAAAGCUGGUUAUUUCUAUAUUAUUAAUCACUAUACAGGUGACGCUCUUGACUACCAGUACAGACCAACACAAAAAAAUAAAUAUCUCCUCAAGUUGGCACCGCUCUCACAGAGUUCAAGACAAGAAUAUAUGAUAAACAAAAACGGCCGUCUUUCAAAUGUUUACACAGGAGAGAACAUAGACAUCGUAGAUGCUCAAUUUCGACAUGGCACAUCUGUGCAGUUAUGGGGUGACAAUGGAGACCAAGCACAGGAGUUUAAUUUACAGAAGAAAACAUAAAUGUUUGAUUUUUAUUUCAAACUUAGGUGUGUAGUUUUAACAGCACCUACUGUUUUAUCUCAUAAAAUAAAACUCUGUUAAAUACUGGGUA